Molecule: ribosomal RNA, 838 nt
Filed under: Tubuca polita
Lineage: Eukaryota; Metazoa; Arthropoda; Malacostraca; Decapoda; Ocypodidae
Description: 12S ribosomal RNA
Source: RNAcentral
UUGAUGUUUGAUUUCGGCUUGAGUAUUUUAUAAAAUCUUUUAAUUUGCAUGAAAAUUUUAGUGUGUUGGAAAACUGUAAAUUUUAUAUCUAUAGGUUAAUUUUAAAAUCCUAAAUUAUAAUAAAUUAGGUCUCAGCAUGUUUUAUUGAUGUAAGUAUGAAUAUAUGGAAAUAUGAAUUAGAAAAGAUUUUAGGUCUAGUAAAUUUUGUGCCAGCAUCUGCGGUUAUACUUGAAGGACAAGUAAAAUUUUUCGGUUACAGUUAAAUGAACUAUAAUAUAAAUUCUAUUGUAUUACAGGUAACAGAGGGUAAAAUUGAAUUGUUACUGUGUAAAAAUGAAAUAAUUUAAAGUUGAAGCUGAGAAAGUUUAAGUAAAAACUAGGAUUAGAUACCCUAUUAUUAAAAUUGAAAUUAUUAAAAUCCGGUUAGUAGUAGUUAUUUACUUAAAAACUAAAAGAUUUGGCGGUAAUUUAAUCUUUCCAGAGGAACUUGUUUUUUAAUCGAUAAACCACGAAAUAUCUUACUUACCUUAUUAAUAUCAGGGUUUGUAUACCUUCAUUAUCAGGUAAUUUUUAAAGAACAAAUUAUUAAAAUUGUUAUUUUGCAAAAAAAUUAGAUCAUGGUGCAGCUUAUAGGUAAGUUAAAAUGAGUUACAAUAAAUUAUUUUAAAAUGAAUUUAUAAUGUAAGUGUUAUAAUAAAGGUGGAUUUGGUUGUAUUGUGAGUUUAAUAAGCUUAUAAGAUAUAGGCUCUAAAUUAUGUACAUAUCGCCCGUCGCUUUCAUUUAUAAGUGAAAUAAGUCGUAACAUAGUAGAUGUACUGGAAAGUGUAUCUAGAAUUAU